CUGUGGGCAAGGCUGGGAAGCAGCUUUCAUCCCAGCCUCCUGCUCAGCUCCGCCCCCGCCCACCCCA
RNAcentral lists this microRNA precursor (67 nucleotides) under Mus pahari (shrew mouse). RNAcentral's name for it is "microRNA 3620 (MGP_PahariEiJ_G0007909.1)". Lineage: Eukaryota; Metazoa; Chordata; Mammalia; Rodentia; Muridae. The record is from RNAcentral.